CUGUCUCAUCAAAACAACUAUAUGAAUGAUAUUUGCCUACUUUAAUUGACAAGGGAAUAGAGAGACACAGUGGAUGAGAAAUGUGCCUAAAGUUUUAUGCUUGAAUCUAAAAGCCACCAACUCUCCCCCUAAUCCUCUAGUGACUUGCAGAGAAGUAUGGAUCUUUAUAAACCACAGGAUAAUUAAACUUUACUGAAGCUAAAAUCUGGGGAUUACAGAAACUGUCAAUAAUUAGAGGAACGUUUAAUGAUACUUCAAAGCAUAAAGGAUACUAUCCUUCAGAAAUGGGAGCUAUCCAGAAAUCUUAACACACCAGAUUAUGAUCACGAUGGUCGGAAAAGUCUCAAAUCAGCUAUACAAUAUAAGGAAGAGAUACUGCCUUGUUAGACUUGGGGAAGAGAUAGUCACUUGACACUGAUCAGAAGGAGGCUGGGCAACUUUUACACACCGGAAUCUAUAACCAAGAUUAUAAACGGAACCCAGGUGAUACACUUGGGUUUGUCCUCAUGUUUCUUUUCCUCAUUUUAACUCAGAUACAUCCAGCAGUCAUGGCUUCAAAAGCAUAUGAUCAAAGAUCAGAAAACCCCUCCCAAAGUACUGGGAUUACAGGUGUGAGCCACCGCACCCAGCCCAUUAUUAUUUUUUGAGACAAGUCUCGCUCUGUUGCCCAGGCUGGAGUGCAGUGGCAUGAUCUUGGCUCACUGCAACCUCCACUUCCUGGGUUCAAGCGAUUCUCCUGCCUCAGCCACCCGAGUAGCUGGGAUUACAGGUGCGUACCACCACACCCAGCUAACUAUUUUUUGUAUUUUUAGUAGAGAUGGGAUUUCACUGUGUUAGCCAGGAUAGUCUCGAUCUCCUGACCUCAUGAUCCGCCUGCCUCGGCCUCCCAAAGUGCUGGGAUUACAGGCGUGAGCCACUGUGCCCAGCUGAAAACAUAAAACUUAUAAACAUGGAGGUGAUUCAUCAUGUUGUCAGGCAAUACCAAAAAAAAAAAGAGGGGGUGACGGUUAGAAAAAGAGCAUAAAAAAGACCAAGAAAACUGUAUGUCUCAGAUAUGCUGCACUAACUAGUCUUGUUUUUAGUGAGUCUCUAUUUAUUAAAAAAAUAGAUGAAGUAAGGGUGAGGUCUUUUUUGUCUUUUAG
RNAcentral lists this long non-coding RNA (1142 nucleotides) under Homo sapiens (human). Its description in RNAcentral is "HSALNT0272924". Lineage: Eukaryota; Metazoa; Chordata; Mammalia; Primates; Hominidae. The record is from RNAcentral.